CUUGGUUCGGAUCGGGCGAUUCCGGAGGCCCUGCCAUCGAGAAUCGGAUGGUGUAAGGUUAUGCACUUGCUUUGGAUAUGACUGCCAGAGAAAUUCAAGCUUCUGCUAAGAUAAAAUCUACAGAGAUUAGAAAGAGAAAAAGGGCAAAGGAAAGCUAUGGUGACUCUUGAAAGAUGGUUCAAGUCUCUGUUGGAGGGGAGAAUCAGACCAUUGAGUGGGCUAUACGACUAACAGUUGCUCUGAACAUUGCCAAAGCAUUAGAUCACUGCAGCAGCGAAUGCCGCCCAUUGUACCAUGACUUAAAUGCAUAUAUGGUUCUCUUUGAUAAGAGUUGGCUUCAUUUCAGUCCAGAAACUCUCUAAAUAGGUCCAAUAACUCACUAAAUAGCUUAUUUGAUUGUAUUUGUGGUUUCCCGGGGACGAACAAAUCCUCUCCUUAAACUUCGAUUCUCAGAAGAAUCACAUUUCUGAUGACCUCUGGGAGAGAAUGAUUAGUUGGAGGUUUAAGCUUUUGAUAAGAUACAAAUUGAAACAUUGAUUUGUGUUUGUGUGUUUAUCUCUCUCUCUCUCUCUCUCUCUCUCUCUCUCUCUAUAUAUAUAUAUAUAUAUAUA
Molecule: long non-coding RNA, 611 nt
Organism: Pyrus x bretschneideri (Chinese white pear)
Lineage: Eukaryota; Viridiplantae; Streptophyta; Magnoliopsida; Rosales; Rosaceae
Exons: 6
Source: RefSeq, a predicted model, not a curated record